GAGUUUGAUCUUGGCUCAGGACGAACGCUGGCGGCGUGCUUAAUACAUGCAAGUUGAGCGGAGCCAUUGAUGAAGCUUGCGAUUCAAUGGUCGAGCGGCGGACGGGUGAGUAACGCGUGGGCAACCUGCCCUCUAGUCUGGGAUAACAGUUCGAAAGGGCUGCUAACACCGGAUAAGCUCACGAAGAGGCAUCUUUCAGUGAGAAAAGUUUACGCUAGAGGAUGGGCCCGCGUCCCAUUAGCUAGUUGGUGAGGUAACGGCUCACCAAGGCGCCGAUGGGUAGCCGACCUGAGAGGGUGACCGGCCACACUGGGACUGAGACACGGCCCAGACUCCUACGGGAGGCAGCAGUAGGGAAUUUUCCGCAAUGGGCGAAAGCCUGACGGAGCAACGCCGCGUGAGGGAAGAAGGUCUUCGGAUCGUAAACCUCUGUCUUCAGGGACGAUGAUGACGGUACCUGAGGAGGAAGCCACGGCUAACUACGUGCCAGCAGCCGCGGUAAUACGUAGGUGGCGAGCGUUGUCCGGAAUUACUGGGCGUAAAGGGCGUGUAGGCGGCCAUUUAAGUCAGAUGUGAAAUACCAUGGCUUAACCAUGGGACUGCAUUUGAGACUGGAUGGCUUGAGGAUCGGAGAGGGCAGUGGAAUUCCCAGUGUAGCGGUGAAAUGCGUAGAUAUUGGGAGGAACACCAGUGGCGAAGGCGACUGCCUGGACGACACCUGACGCUGAGGCGCGAAAGCUAGGGGAGCAAACGGGAUUAGAUACCCCGGUAGUCCUAGCCGUAAACGAUGGGUACUAGGUGUGGGAGGUAUCGACCCCUUCCGUGCCGCAGUUAACACAAUAAGUACCCCGCCUGGGGAGUACGGCCGCAAGGUUGAAACUCAAAAGAAUUGACGG
Molecule: ribosomal RNA, 896 nt
Filed under: bacterium ADC-6-11
Lineage: Bacteria
Description: bacterial SSU rRNA
Rfam family: Bacterial small subunit ribosomal RNA
Source: RNAcentral